Rosa chinensis is the source of this 2120-nucleotide long non-coding RNA. RefSeq lists it as uncharacterized. Lineage: Eukaryota; Viridiplantae; Streptophyta; Magnoliopsida; Rosales; Rosaceae. The transcript has 3 exons. The record is from RefSeq and is a predicted model, not a curated record.
UUAAUGGAGGAUAUGGGGCCCUAAAGUGGCUCGUCACAGCUAAUAAAAGAUACUAGUGGAUUUGAUGCUUUACUUUGCCUGCACUAUAAUUGCUCCAAUCUUGCCUGAUUUGGAACUAAAAGUCUUCACAUUUACUUUCAUGUUGUUCUCCAUUUAGAAGUUCUAGCUUGAAGCUUGAAUAUGUAUUUGGAUGCGAAGGGUUUGAACCAGAAUAUUCAAAAUUCAGAGAGGUGAUAUUAUUGGAGUUAGAUGCAGUAAGAAGCAUAUGUAAUGGUCUGGUUCCCCAUGCUAUGUUCCGGACUCUUAAAAGUUUGUUCAUUUACCAUUGUAGGUCUUUGGGAAGUCUCUUCACAUGUGAUGCAGCGCAAUGUCUUUUUCAGUCGGAAGAGCUUUGGGUAGAGAAAUGCCCUUUGUUGGAAAGAGUAAUUGAAACAAGCAAGGAAACAAGCAAGCUAGGAAACAGUUAACAAGAAGAAGAAUAUUGUUCUUUCUAAAUAAAAGUCGUUUUGAAGGAGCUUCCUGUGUUGUACAGUGGAAGUGCUACUACUGAUAUUGGCAUCGAGUGUCCUUCAUUGGAAGCUUGGAACACUAGUAUGUGAAGGACUGCCUCCAUUUGCCAUUUUCAACCUCUGCUUCUGACUAUUUCCACAGCAGGAACCAAAUCCAACUCGAUGAUCAACAACAGUACGACGUUCUAUAUCGCAGAAUUUGGAGUCCAACAUUGGAAAGCUGAUUCAUGGAGAAGAAACAGAAAGAAAUCUUUCAUGGUUUCCGGAAAUCAAAUCAAAUUAAUGAGAGCACCUCUGCCUGCGCUUCUCAUAAUGAAUUACGAUUCCGGGUAGCUCUAAAUUUUUCAGUUUUCAAGAAUUCCUAUACUAAUCUGAAAAUGCCCAAAAUCUCAGAGCUUGGUGGGAAUUUCGUGUUGGGGAAUUGAGAAUUGGGAGUGAGAGAUCGGAUUCUAGUCGGUUUAUUUAUUUAUUUAUUAUUUUUUUUUUUUUCUGGCGAAGCACCACUAGUGAGAUAGGAGACGCAUUUGCCGUUGGUUGAGAAUUUUGAUGGGUUCUGAGGCUUUUGGUGAUGUUUUAGAGUGUAAAGGGAAUAGAUUUUAAACAGAUGAAUUUGGGUGAGGUGAGAGGCUUGGUUGUAGACUUGUAGUUGUGGUGGACUGGUGGUGGAUGAUAGACAGAGAGACUGAAUCAGAGAGAGAGAGAGAGAGAGAGAGAGAGGAGGGGACCGGAGGAAGAGAGAAAUAUAAAAUGAUUAAUUUUCAGUUAUUCACUAUAGUUAAUCAGAGUUAAUAACCAUAGUUAAAUUAUAAAAGACAUGGCAAUGUUUGAUAGGAUGGCGGUAUCACCACUAAAGGUUAAGUGGUGAGCAAAUUUAAUUUCGAGAAUUUGUUAGUUGUGUUUGCCUAAUUUAGCUAUUGAACUUAUUGUGCCUAUUAGUAGUGUACAUACUGAUGAAUAUUUCACCAUUAAGGUUUGGCACUAUCGGCUGGGGCCCGUAGGAGAACCCAGGCACUGUACCAUGGGUCGGGUUCACAACCCACCAUGAUGGUGCUCAUCGGAGGCAACACCUUGGACGCCAAGAGCCCUGGACUUGGCCAGCGCAGUCCAUCUAAUUACACCAGAAAGCUGAUAUGACUGCAAAGGGACAAGCUGCAUCCCACAUCGAAGAAAUGGGAAACUCCUUUCCCAUGCUCGAGUAUAAAAGACCAACACAACUACCUUUUUGAGGCUAGCAGAGGAAUCCCAGAAGAUGUCCAAGUAGCAGACUUAAUAGGUAGCAGUAUGAGUUUGAGAAACGGCUGUUACGAGAUAUCAACACAAUGGAAGAUGCCGAACUUAUAGUGAAUUCAGUGGACGGUAUACGGAGCCAUGUCGAUCAAUUGCACCGUCUGAUGAAGAUGCCCAUGGCCAAACAAUGCAAAUGAAUGCUACUCUGCAAUGUCACUAACACGAAACCAAAAUCACUAGUCUGUCUCCUCUUCUAGCUUUUGCAAACUAAUAAUUGUUGUAACAUAUUCAUUCACUCUCUUUCCGGGUUGUGUUUGUUAAUGGAAGUUAAAGAAAGUAAGAAAGUUGACUCUGGACUCACUUGGAAAUACAGAAUGAUUAUGA